This 231-nucleotide ribosomal RNA is filed under the name Alexandrium tamarense. Its description in RNAcentral is "partial Bacterial small subunit ribosomal RNA". It matches the Rfam family "Bacterial small subunit ribosomal RNA", at positions 653 to 884 of the family's 1533-position model. Lineage: Eukaryota; Dinophyceae; Gonyaulacales; Pyrocystaceae. The record is from RNAcentral.
UGAAGUGGUUAGAAUAUGUAGUGUAGCGGUGAAAUGCAUAGAUAUGACUCAGAACACCAAUUGCGAAGGCAGCUUACUAACAUGUAACUGACGCUGAGGGACGAAAGCGUGGGGAGCGAACAGGAUUAGAUACCCUGGUAGUCCACGCCCUAAACGAUGUCAACUGGUUGUUGGGAGGGUUUCUUCUCAGUAACGAAGCUAACGCGUGAAGUUGACCGCCUGGGGAGUACG